RNAcentral lists this ribosomal RNA (332 nucleotides) under uncultured bacterium. RNAcentral describes it as "bacterial SSU rRNA". It matches the Rfam family "Bacterial small subunit ribosomal RNA", at positions 568 to 898 of the family's 1533-position model. The record is from RNAcentral.
UGCGUAGGCGGUGCGGUAAGUCUUCUGUGAAACCUCCGGGCUUAACUCGGAGCCUGCAGGGGGAAACUGCCGUGCUGGAGUAUGGGAGAGGUGAGUGGAAUUCCUGGUGUAGCGGUAAAAUGCGUAGAGAUCAGGAGGAACACCGGUGGCGAAGGCGGCUUUCUGGGCUGUAACUGACGCUGAGGCGCGAAAGCGUGGGGGAGCAAACAGGAUUAGAUACCCUGGUAGUCCACGCUGUAAACGAUGAAUACUAGGUGUAGGGGACGCAGGUCUUCUGUGCCGGAGCUAACGCAAUAAGUAUUCCGCCUGGGGAGUACGGCCGCAAGGUUGAA